GGGAAGUGAAUGACCAACUGGGUAGGCUGAUGAAUAUUUUCCUGGUAAAUGCAUAACUUUCCCCACAACUGUGAUGCUUUAUCCUUUGACAUUAAGAAUGCUGUUUGCAGAAGUAACAUUCCUUUGAACACUCAGCUUUCUGAAAUGGUGUCCCACCGCAAGGACUGGAGAAGGGUAAACCUCAGGUUCUCCUCCUGCCUUUUGCUAAGUAUAUGUCUUGAUGACAAGCCUUCUGCUGAUGAGCUGUGUUUCUGGACCGAUCAUGGUAGAAGUCAAUUAACGUGUCCCUCACUUGGGGUUUCUCAAGGCUGCACUGAUGAGGAAACUGAAACAGAAAAUCCAGAGUAAAUUCCACCAGGCCACACAGCAAGGUCUGAUAGAGCCAGGAGAGACUUUAUGAAAUCCAGACUCUCACACUAAUGCUCUAUCAGCUAGACCUCCAUGUGAGUCUCCCCAAUGUAGGUAGGAAGUGCUUUCCCUAAAAUGCUCAUAAAGCAAAUCAGAGCAAUGCUGCAUUCCAUGUGAUUUCUAAUUUGAAAUGCAAACAAUUGCCAAUUUGUUUGACUUGUAUUUAUAAUUAUUUCCUUGUGAAUUACUCAUCACUAAAUGCUUUAUAAAUAUUUUCUCUUUUUUUCCUCAAUGUCUAUGGAAUGAUCACAGCAUAGAAAAUGUUGGCUUUCAAGGAUUUAUUAAUAUCUCCUUUUGAAAUAACAUGUAUUUGUAAGACAGAAUAAAAUCACUUUAAAGAAACAAAUCUUGAAUUUGA
Molecule: long non-coding RNA, 766 nt
Filed under: Homo sapiens (human)
Lineage: Eukaryota; Metazoa; Chordata; Mammalia; Primates; Hominidae
Description: HSALNT0306205
Source: RNAcentral